RNAcentral lists this ribosomal RNA (253 nucleotides) under uncultured bacterium. Its description in RNAcentral is "partial 16S ribosomal RNA". It matches the Rfam family "Bacterial small subunit ribosomal RNA", at positions 524 to 776 of the family's 1533-position model. The record is from RNAcentral.
UACAGAGGUGGCAAGCGUUGUUCGGAUUAAUUGGGCGUAAAGGGUCCGUAGGCGGUUCGGAAAGUUGGAUGUGAAAUCCUACAGCUUAACUGUAGAACUGCAUUCAAAACUUCCGAACUAGAGUAUGAGAGGGGUAAAGGGAAUUCCCGGUGUAAGGGUGAAAUCUGCAGAGAUCGGGAGGAACACCAGUCGCGAAGGCGCUUUACUGGCUCAUUACUGACGCUCAGGGACGAAAGCUAGGGGAGCAAACGGG